GGCCUUUAGAAUUUAAUUUAAGGUCUGACCUGCCCAGUGAUGAAUUUAACGGCCGCGGUAUAUUGACCGUGCAAAGGUAGCAUAAUCAUUAGUCUUUUAAUAGAGGGCUGGAAUGAACGGUUUAACGAGGAAUUGACUGUCUCAUUUUAUUUGUUUUAAAAUUUAAUUUUUUAGUUAAAAAGCUAAAAUAAUAUUGGAAGACGAGAAGACCCUAUAGAUCUUUAUAUAAUUUUUUGUAUUUAUUUAUAUAUUAACAUAAUUGUAGUAAAAUUGUAUUUUGUUGGGGUGACAAAAAUAUAUAAUUAACUUUUUCAUUUAUUUACCAUUGAUGUAUGAUUUUUAGAUCCAUUUUUAGUGAUUGCUAGAGUAAGUUACCUUAGGGAUAACAGCGUAAUCCUCCUCCAGAGUUCAUAUUUACAGGAGGGCUUGCGACCUCGAUGUUGGAUUAAGAUAAUAAUUAGGUGUAGCCGCUUAAUUUAUAGGUCUGUUCGACCUUUAAAUUCUU
This 505-nucleotide ribosomal RNA is filed under the name Sympetrum eroticum. RNAcentral's name for it is "partial 16S rRNA". It matches the Rfam family "Bacterial large subunit ribosomal RNA", at positions 1818 to 2597 of the family's 2925-position model. The record is from RNAcentral. Lineage: Eukaryota; Metazoa; Arthropoda; Insecta; Odonata; Libellulidae.